This 522-nucleotide ribosomal RNA is filed under the name Enterococcus faecalis. RNAcentral describes it as "bacterial SSU rRNA". It matches the Rfam family "Bacterial small subunit ribosomal RNA", at positions 1 to 494 of the family's 1533-position model. The record is from RNAcentral. Lineage: Bacteria; Bacillati; Bacillota; Bacilli; Lactobacillales; Enterococcaceae.
UAUUAUGAGAGUUUGAUCCUGGCUCAGGACGAACGCUGGCGGCGUGCCUAAUACAUGCAAGUCGAACGCUUCUUUCCUCCCGAGUGCUUGCACUCAAUUGGAAAGAGGAGUGGCGGACGGGUGAGUAACACGUGGGUAACCUACCCAUCAGAGGGGGAUAACACUUGGAAACAGGUGCUAAUACCGCAUAACAGUUUAUGCCGCAUGGCAUAAGAGUGAAAGGCGCUUUCGGGUGUCGCUGAUGGAUGGACCCGCGGUGCAUUAGCUAGUUGGUGAGGUAACGGCUCACCAAGGCCACGAUGCAUAGCCGACCUGAGAGGGUGAUCGGCCACACUGGGACUGAGACACGGCCCAGACUCCUACGGGAGGCAGCAGUAGGGAAUCUUCGGCAAUGGACGAAAGUCUGACCGAGCAACGCCGCGUGAGUGAAGAAGGUUUUCGGAUCGUAAAACUCUGUUGUUAGAGAAGAACAAGGACGUUAGUAACUGAACGUCCCCUGACGGUAUCUAACCAGAAAGCCAC